This 583-nucleotide ribosomal RNA is filed under the name uncultured bacterium. Its description in RNAcentral is "bacterial SSU rRNA". It matches the Rfam family "Bacterial small subunit ribosomal RNA", at positions 338 to 916 of the family's 1533-position model. The record is from RNAcentral.
CCUACGGGAGGCAGCAGUGGGGAAUUUUGGACAAUGGGCGCAAGCCUGAUCCAGCAAUGCCGCGUGCAGGAUGAAGGCCUUCGGGUUGUAAACUGCUUUUGUACGGAACGAAACGGCCCUUUCUAAUACAAGGGGCUAAUGACGGUACCGUAAGAAUAAGCACCGGCUAACUACGUGCCAGCAGCCGCGGUAAUACGUAGGGUGCGAGCGUUAAUCGGAAUUACUGGGCGUAAAGCGUGCGCAGGCGGUUAUAUAAGACAGAUGUGAAAUCCCCGGGCUCAACCUGGGACCUGCAUUUGUGACUGUAUAGCUAGAGUACGGUAGAGGGGGAUGGAAUUCCGCGUGUAGCAGUGAAAUGCGUAGAUAUGCGGAGGAACACCGAUGGCGAAGGCAAUCCCCUGGACCUGUACUGACGCUCAUGCACGAAAGCGUGGGGAGCAAACAGGAUUAGAUACCCUGGUAGUCCACGCCCUAAACGAUGUCAACUGGUUGUUGGGUCUUCACUGACUCAGUAACGAAGCUAACGCGUGAAGUUGACCGCCUGGGGAGUACGGCCGCAAGGUUGAAACUANAGAAUUGACGG